CGGACCGGCGCACGGGUGAGUAACACGUAUGCAACCUGGCCGCCACAGGGGGAUAACCCGCGGAAACGCGGCCUAAUACCCCGUGACGCCACCGGAGGGCAUCCUCCGGUGGCCAAAGGAGCGAUCCGGUGGCGGAUGGGCAUGCGGCGCAUUAGCUAGACGGCGGGGUGACGGCCCACCGUGGCGACGAUGCGUAGGGGUUCUGAGAGGAAGGCCCCCCACACUGGGACUGAGACACGGCCCAGACUCCUACGGAAGGCAGCAG
Molecule: ribosomal RNA, 265 nt
Filed under: uncultured bacterium
Lineage: Bacteria
Description: partial 16S ribosomal RNA
Rfam family: Bacterial small subunit ribosomal RNA
Source: RNAcentral